AUCACUCGAUUAUUGAGGAAUCUAACCAUUCUUGCCAUAUGGCCAUUUCUGGCAAUCUCAAACCAAGGUGAUUUUAUGUAAAUUGACGAGCAGAAGUCAUCCAUAAAUUUGGAUCAUUGAAUCGGUGCACUGUAAGGUGAUUGGAACAUCUAUAGUCAGCAAACAAUGCCUGCAGGCAAUUUUUUGGCCCCUUUCUCUUUCUCUAGUUAGUAAGACAUUGUUUCAGCUAAUCUGUGCCAUUGGAAAGAGUCUGGAGGAAGAAGGAAUGAUUUAACCUAAGGAACUACAUUUUCCUUGAGGUACGAAUUUUAGCCAAAAAAUUAUUCCAUAACUGUCCCAAAAGUAAGAGAAGUUGAUUGUCGAAUUAAAUGAUUUCUUUAUAUGCAUUAAGAGAAUAUGCCUCCUGAAGGAGAUGUUAUAUACAAUUGAAGAGUCAACAGACCUACAAAAAUGUACAAGGUUGAAGCAAGUGCACUCAACUACAAAGGACACUUUGAUGGAAUAACAAUUCUUGAUUGAAACAAAAGACUCAUUCAAAAAUAAAAGAAAAGAAAAAAACAAGAUAGAAAUGAAAGCGAAAUCGAGAUUGGCAUAACCUAAUAUAAUUAAUUAUAGACAUGAUGCUUUCUAUACUUCUGACAAAAUUGUUAUAUAUCUACAUUCUGCAUUUUUGCAUAUAAUUAUUGUAUAUAAUUAGCUAAAAAUUCAUCCAGAAUCUGGUUGAUAUAGUGGUGAAGGUACCCUUCUAAGUAAUUAUCACCACAGAUAAAAAUUGAAUACUUGGAUAAGAAAACAAAGCACAACACGUGAAUGAUGCUAUUGAUUUUAAAGAACUAGUGUAGUAGCCCAGUUCUCCGGGCUAAUGGGCCGGCCUGAGGAGGCCAGGCCCAUCUUCCCUUUGAUCGUGGUCGACCGCGAUCGGUCGGCCGAUCGCGGGAGGUGGAGAAGAAACUCCUAGCUCCCCGAUCGUGCCGGUGACUCCAAGAGACUCUUGGUAAUCCAACUACAAGUCGGGUGAGAUUAGGGACUUGGUUCCCCAUCUCCGCCGUUGAAUCCAUCGCAUUGUCCUCGAAGAAAGCCGCUAGAUUUAAGCUCCUCUUCCCGAGCUUCACCAUCGAUUUUUCGCCGGAAAGGGACGCCGGACCGAGGUAAGUGUUCCUCGUCCUCUUCCUCCUUGUUUCCUGGUUCGGUGAUUGA
Molecule: long non-coding RNA, 1197 nt
Filed under: Phoenix dactylifera (date palm)
Lineage: Eukaryota; Viridiplantae; Streptophyta; Magnoliopsida; Arecales; Arecaceae
Description: long non-coding RNA (PDAC_LNC015485)
Source: RNAcentral